This 261-nucleotide ribosomal RNA is filed under the name uncultured archaeon. RNAcentral describes it as "partial 16S ribosomal RNA". It matches the Rfam family "Archaeal small subunit ribosomal RNA", at positions 748 to 1009 of the family's 1478-position model. The record is from RNAcentral.
CAGCCCUAAACGAUGCGCGUUAGGUGUAUCGGUGACCACGAGUCACCGAGGUGCCGAAGGGAAACCGUGAAACGUGCCGCCUGGGAAGUACGGUCGCAAGGCUGAAACUUAAAGGAAUUGGCGGGGGAGCACCGCAACGGGUGGAGCCUGCGGUUUAAUUGGACUCAACGCCGGGAAGCUUACCGGAUAAGACAGCGGAAUGAUUGCCGGGCUGAAGACUCUGCAUGACCAGCUGAGAGGAGGUGCAUGGCGUAGUCGUGU